This 505-nucleotide ribosomal RNA is filed under the name uncultured bacterium. RNAcentral describes it as "partial 16S ribosomal RNA". It matches the Rfam family "Bacterial small subunit ribosomal RNA", at positions 28 to 507 of the family's 1533-position model. The record is from RNAcentral.
GACGAACGCUGGCGGCGUGCCUAAUACAUGCAAGUGGGACGCAAGGAAACACACUGUGCUUGCACACCGUGUUUUCUUGAGUCGCGAACGGGUGAGUAACGCGUAGGUAACCUGCCUAUUAGCGGGGGAUAACUAUUGGAAACGAUAGCUAAUACCGCAUAAUAUUAAUUAUUGCAUGAUAAUUGAUUGAAAGAUGCAAGCGCAUCACUAGUAGAUGGACCUGCGUUGUAUUAGCUAGUUGGUAAGGUAAGAGCUUACCAAGGUGACGAUACAUAGCCGACCUGAGAGGGUGAUCGGCCACACUGGGACUGGGACACGGCCCAGACUCCUACGGGAGGCAGCAGUAGGGAACCUUCGGCAAUGGACGAAAGUCUGACCGAGCAACGCCGCGUGAGUGAAGAAGGUUGUCGGAUCGUAAAGCUCUGUUGUAAGUCAAGAACGUGUGUGAGAGUGGAAAGUUCACACAGUGACGGUAGCUUACCAGAAAGGGACGGCUAACUACGUG